GAUCAUGGCUCAGGAUUAACGCUGGCGGCACACAUAAGACAUUCAAGUCGAACGGACUUAAUCGAUUCUUUUAGAUUCGAAGCGGUUAGUGGCGGACUGGUGAGUAACACGUAAGGAACCUGCCUAUUAGAGGGGAAUAACAACGAGAAAUCGUUGCUAAUACCGCAUAAGCUAGUAGUACCGCAUGGUACAGCUAGAAAAGGAGAAAUCCACUAAUAGAUGGCCUUGCGUCCGAUUAGCUAGUUGGUGGGG
This 252-nucleotide ribosomal RNA is filed under the name uncultured bacterium. RNAcentral describes it as "partial 16S ribosomal RNA". It matches the Rfam family "Bacterial small subunit ribosomal RNA", at positions 15 to 257 of the family's 1533-position model. The record is from RNAcentral.